AUGAACGCUAGCGAGGCUUAACACAUGCAAGUCGAGGGGCAUCAUGAGGUAGCAAUACCUUGAUGGCGACCGGCGCACGGGUGAGUAACGCGUAUGCAACCUGCCCGAUACCGGGGUAUAGCCCAUGGAAACGUGGAUUAACACCCCAUAGUACUUUUAUCCUGCCUGGGAUGUGAGUUAAAUGUUCAAGGUAUCGGAUGGGCAUGCGUCCUAUUAGUUAGUUGGCGGGGUAACAGCCCACCAAGACGAUGAUAGGUAGGGGUUCUGAGAGGAAGGUCCCCCACAUUGGAACUGAGACACGGUCCAAACUCCUACGGGAGGCAGCAGUGAGGAAUAUUGGUCAAUGGACGUAAGUCUGAACCAGCCAAGUCGCGUGAGGGAAGACUGCCCUAUGGGUUGUAAACCUCUUUUAUAAGGGAAGAAUAAGUUCUACGUGUAGAAUGAUGCCUGUACCUUAUGAAUAAGCAUCGGCUAACUCCGUGCCAGCAGCCGCGGUAAUACGGAGGAUGCGAGCGUUAUCCGGAUUUAUUGGGUUUAAAGGGUGCGUAGGCGGUUUAUUAAGUUAGUGGUUAAAUAUUUGAGCUAAACUCAAUUGUGCCAUUAAUACUGGUAAACUGGAGUACAGACGAGGUAGGCGGAAUAAGUUAAGUAG
This 652-nucleotide ribosomal RNA is filed under the name uncultured Bacteroidales bacterium. RNAcentral's name for it is "bacterial SSU rRNA". It matches the Rfam family "Bacterial small subunit ribosomal RNA", at positions 29 to 678 of the family's 1533-position model. Lineage: Bacteria; Pseudomonadati; Bacteroidota; Bacteroidia; Bacteroidales. The record is from RNAcentral.